UGGGGAAUAUUGGACAAUGGGCGAAAGCCUGAUCCAGCCAUGCCGCGUGUUUGAAGAAGGUCUUCGGAUUGUAAAGCACUUUAAGUUGGGAGGAAGGGCAGUAAGCGAAUACCUUGCUGUUUUGACGUUACCGACAGAAUAAGUACCGGCUAACUCUGUGCCAUCAGCCGCGGUAAUACAGAGGGUGCCAGCGUUAUUCGGAAUUACUGGGCGUAAAGCGCGCGUAGGUGGUUCGUUAAGUUGAAUGUGAAAGCCCCGGGCUCAACCUGGGAACUGCAUCCAAAUCUGGCGAGCUAGAGUAGGGCAGAGAGUGGUGGAAUUUCCUGUGUAGCAGUGAAAUGCGUAGAUAUAGGAAGGAACACCAGUGGCAAAGUCGACCACCUGGGCUCAUACUAACACUGAGGUGCGAAAGCGUGGGGAGCAAACAGG
This 429-nucleotide ribosomal RNA is filed under the name Pseudomonadota bacterium. Its description in RNAcentral is "Proteobacteria bacterium partial 16S ribosomal RNA". It matches the Rfam family "Bacterial small subunit ribosomal RNA", at positions 355 to 776 of the family's 1533-position model. Lineage: Bacteria; Pseudomonadati; Pseudomonadota. The record is from RNAcentral.